This 301-nucleotide ribosomal RNA is filed under the name uncultured bacterium. RNAcentral's name for it is "partial 16S ribosomal RNA". It matches the Rfam family "Bacterial small subunit ribosomal RNA", at positions 509 to 807 of the family's 1533-position model. The record is from RNAcentral.
CAGUCGCCGCGGUAAUACCGAGGGUGCGAGCGUUAAUCGGAUUUACUGGGCGUAAAGCGUGCGUAGGCGGCUUUUUAAGUCGGAUGUGAAAUCCCUGAGCUUAACUUAGGAAUUGCAUUCGAUACUGGGAAGCUAGAGUAUGGGAGAGGAUGGUAGAAUUCCAGGUGUAGCGGUGAAAUGCGUAGAGAUCUGGAGGAAUACCGAUGGCGAAGGCAGCCAUCUGGCCUAAUACUGACGCUGAGGUACGAAAGCAUGGGGAGCAAACAGGAUUAGAUACCCCCGUAGUCCCUGUCUCUUAUAC